This 465-nucleotide ribosomal RNA is filed under the name Vreelandella stevensii. RNAcentral's name for it is "partial 16S ribosomal RNA". It matches the Rfam family "Bacterial small subunit ribosomal RNA", at positions 338 to 795 of the family's 1533-position model. Lineage: Bacteria; Pseudomonadati; Pseudomonadota; Gammaproteobacteria; Oceanospirillales; Halomonadaceae. The record is from RNAcentral.
CCUACGGGAGGCAGCAGUGGGGAAUAUUGGACAAUGGGGGGAACCCUGAUCCAGCCAUGCCGCGUGUGUGAAGAAGGCCCUCGGGUUGUAAAGCACUUUCAGUGAGGAAGAACGCCUGGUGGUUAAUACCCAUCAGGAAAGACAUCACUCACAGAAGAAGCACCGGCUAACUCCGUGCCAGCAGCCGCGGUAAUACGGAGGGUGCGAGCGUUAAUCGGAAUUACUGGGCGUAAAGCGCGCGUAGGUGGCUUGAUAAGCCGGUUGUGAAAGCCCCGGGCUCAACCUGGGAACGGCAUCCGGAACUGUCAAGCUAGAGUGCAGGAGAGGAAGGUAGAAUUCCCGGUGUAGCGGUGAAAUGCGUAGAGAUCGGGAGGAAUACCAGUGGCGAAGGCGGCCUUCUGGACUGACACUGACACUGAGGUGCGAAAGCGUGGGUAGCAUACAGGAUUAGAUACCCCAGUAGUC